AUGACCUUGCGAUCUUGUCGGUACUUGGGGAUUGGAGCAGAGGUGAGACGGGGUAGAGAGGUUGUCCAGUUGCCAUCUAUCUCAUGGCCAGAUGUGCCUGGACCAGUACCUCCAUUCUUCCAGGUGCUGAGGACAUCUGUGCCAAUGAACUGUGCAAAGGAGGACAGAACCGAGCCCACCCAGCACAACAAGACCACACACAGGGCUCUUCUCCGGGUCACCACUGCAGAGUACCUGCCAGACACAGACACAGAUAUUGAAAAGCUGAAAACGUGCCUGGAGAGCGAACCGGUCAGGCCAGACAUCACUUCCCCACUGAGAAUGUGAGCGCCGUGCAAACGCAGAACAACAUGCAGCACGCCGGGUGACAACACACUGUUAACACUCAUCGCUCUUCUGGCUUUCUCGCCUCUCCCCUUGCUGUGACCCACCAUGUGUUAUUCACUUAGACCCGCUCAGACACAAAUAGGCCCAGGCAUACGCCAGCACACUCUCACCGGUGAUUUGCAGCAUUCAGAAAUGAUUGGCAGCUAAUUUUAGAGCAUUUUCAAACAAUAGGUCCACAUCAAGCAGGGUGGAUGAUUAUUGAAAUAACAGCCACCGUAUGGCACCCGUCCAUUCCGUGUAAUUAGUUUGACCUUUUGGAAACAUUUAGCGUUAGUCGUCACUUAAAAAUCCCGACUGGCUGAAAUAACCUCUACAACACUUCACGCAGUACUUUACACAGUUGUCUCCGCACUCACUACUCGAACGGCCUCGGCUAAAUUGAUUCACUAAAGUAAUUAACGGAGUUAAAUCCACCUUGUGAGAGUUUUCAAUUCAAAUUGUUGGUCAGACACACAAAGUGUCCUUAAUUUCCUUAAUGAAUCAAUCAGUCUUGUUGAAGGAAAGAGGUCAAACCUUUCAGGAAUGUCACAGCCAGUUAGAAGGAGCUGAAAAGGUAGGAAAUCAGAGAAAAAGACACACCGUUACCUGUUGCGAGACCUCGUGACGACAGAUUAUACAAAGCUCUGCUUUCGCCUUUGUGGCUGGACUUUCUCCUUUUCUUUUAACGUAUUCCCCCUCAGGAUCUUUGUCGCUCCCUCUCACCCUUACCCCGCUGACAGAAUAAACCUCAUUCAUAAACCUCUGCUUAUCAACCCGCCUUCUGUCUCUCUCCUGUCUCGGCAAACAUAUCAAUUGUGUCAAUGUUGGAGCACGGCUGCCCUUUCUAUCUAAGAUGUGCAAAGGGCAACAUCACCUCUGCCAUCCAGAGAAAUAUGCUAAUGCUGGAGCAUAGACACACAGAGAAACACGGCUUAACACACACACACACACACACACAAAUACAUCUCUCUUAAAUGACUGGUGUGCUUUUUCCAAAUUCGUCCAAUUUUAGCAGGAUGGAGGAAAUAAGAUACAGCUCUUAACUUAAUGGGGUUUUUGAUGGAGUAUGUAUCCAUUCCGUGUGAUUAAUGAACAGAGAUAUGAAAGACUGUCGGGUUUAAAGGCUCCGUCUAAACCAGGGGUGUCAAACUCAUUUUAGCUCAGGGGCCACAUUGAGGGAAAUCUAGUCCCAAGUGGGCCGGACCGGUAAAUUUAAAAAAAACUUCAGAUUGUUUUCUUUGUUUUAAUACAAUCAAUAUAAAACAAGGUUGGAGCCUGAGGACAGUGUAGUACAAGUACAACACCUGAAGUGUACUUGAAAAUUUGAAAAGAAAAAAAAAAUAAAUCAACAAAUAAAAAAAACAUUCCUUAGUGAUUCAAAGAGCUUACAGAUCACAUGGCAAGAUCAGUUUCAUGCAGCACUUAAAGUAUAUUUGACUCAUUUUACUUUACAUCUUUUAGCUUUCACCAGCACAUCAACAUCAGAAGUCACAUCCUGAGUGGCGGCCAACUUCAGGAUGUGAUUCAAGUUCUUGUGUGAGCCUUGAGCGCAGCUUUGUUUUAUUUAUACUCAUUACAGAGAAAACUUGCUCACAANAAAAAAAACAUUCCUUAGUGAUUCAAAGAGCUUACAGAUCACAUGGCAAGAUCAGUUUCAUGCAGCACUUAAAGUAUAUUUGACUCACUUUACAUCUUUUAGCUUUCACCAGCACAUCAACAUCAGAAGUCACAUCCUGAGUGGCGGCCAACUUCAGGAUGUGAUUCAAGUUCUUGUGUGAGCCUUGAGCGCAGCUUUGUUUUAUUUAUACUCAUUACAGAGAAAACUUGCUCACAAUGAUACAUUUAUUUUCACUCUACAUUGUAAAGUAUGAAAAUAAAGGUUACACAACCAACUCGUGGGCCGGAUUUAACCCGCUUGCGGACCGGAUCCGGCCCGCGGGCCGCAUAAUUGACACCCCUGGUCUAAACGUUCGAAUUCCUCGAACAUUUUAUUAAUACGAGACCAGUACGCAGAAACUUGUCUAGCCUUGAUAAACAGUACAUUUUCCUUUAUGCUGUGAUUUUAGACUGCAACUGGAGAAUAAUACCAAACUUUAAUGACCACAAAGCGCGACGCUGCCGCGAUUUUUCUGUUCUCACAAUCGUUAUACUUUAAUCACAUGCAAACGAGCUUCACUGAACAGGAGGGUCGAGGCGUUAUUGUCUAAGAUUAUAUUCAGCCAAGUUCAUAUGUAUGCACAAAUGAUUCUCCAGCCGUCUGCCAGUGGCGUGGCCACGCUGACCUGAUUCAAGAGUGGUGCACUUUACAAAAAAAUAAAAAUAAAACGUCAACAAGAGAAAUGAAGCAAAGAAAUGAUCCAAGCCACCAAAACCAUGAUGCAUUUUAUAAUACGUGCAGAGUGUGUUUGUUUAAAAGUGCCAGCUCAGGCUGUGAGGUGAGCAGGAGGAAUAAUCCGGGUGAAAAUCUAUUAUUUGUUUCUGUGUGACUUUAUUUUAGGCAUAAAUGUGGCAACCAAAUCUGUAAUGUCUCGAUUUUAAUUCCUUUAAGGUUGGCCAGUAGCAGAUUGCAUGUAAUUGGUAUUAAAGUCUGAUAUUACAUUCAAAUUGAUUUAUUGGACUCCGCCAAGGCUGCCCUUUGUCACCGAUUCUGUUCAUAACCUUUAUGGACAGGAUUUCUAGGUGCAGCCAAGGUGUGGAGGGCAUCCAUUUUGGUGGCCUGAGGAUCAAGUCUCUGCUUUUUGAAGAUGGUGUGGUCCUGUUGGCUUCAUCAGAACGUGAUCUUGAGCUGUCGCUGGAGCAGUUCGCAGCUGAGUGUGAAGCAGCUGGGAUGAGCAUCAGCUCCACUAAAUCUGAGACCACGGUCUUGAUUCGGAAAAGGGUGGG
RNAcentral lists this long non-coding RNA (3249 nucleotides) under Nothobranchius furzeri (turquoise killifish). RNAcentral describes it as "lncRNA (ENSNFUG00015001427.1)". The record is from RNAcentral. Lineage: Eukaryota; Metazoa; Chordata; Actinopteri; Cyprinodontiformes; Nothobranchiidae.